RNAcentral lists this ribosomal RNA (301 nucleotides) under uncultured bacterium. Its description in RNAcentral is "partial 16S ribosomal RNA". It matches the Rfam family "Bacterial small subunit ribosomal RNA", at positions 509 to 809 of the family's 1533-position model. The record is from RNAcentral.
CAGUCGCCGCGGUAAUACGUAGGGUGCAAGCGUUAAUCGGAAUUACUGGGCGUAAAGCGUGCGCAGGCGGUUAUAUAAGUCAGAUGUGAAAUCCCCGGGCUCAACCUGGGAACUGCAUUUGAGACUGUAUGGCUAGAGUGUGUCAGAGGGGGGUAGAACUCCACGUGUAGCAGUGAAAUGCGUAGAUAUGUGGGGGAAUACCGAUGGCGAAGGCAGCCCCCUGGGAUAACACUGACGCUCAUGCACGAAAGCGUGGGGAGCAAACAGGAUUAGAUACCCCCGUAGUCCCUGUCUCUUAUAA